AUGGCACUUAAGACUAGGUCAUAUAGAAGAAGAAGAAGACAAGAUUAACAAAUUGGAGAAAAUCAAACUUUUGGGUUCGUUGACUUUCGAGUCAUAUCCGGUCCAUGAGUCAUGCCUUCAAAGAAAAAUGACCAAGCUUCUCUUUGUAGGAUAUGGAGAAAGGACUAUAGAAGUACUUGCUCUGGUACACACUGAUGUGUGC
This 202-nucleotide long non-coding RNA is filed under the name Elaeis guineensis (African oil palm). RNAcentral describes it as "long non-coding RNA (EGUI_LNC035872)". Lineage: Eukaryota; Viridiplantae; Streptophyta; Magnoliopsida; Arecales; Arecaceae. The record is from RNAcentral.